GUUAUUUUGGCAGAUUAGUGCAAUUGAUUUAGGUUCUUUUUAUAUAGGUUUACUAUAAAUAAUA
This 64-nucleotide transfer RNA is filed under the name Scolytinae sp. BMNH 1043001. RNAcentral's name for it is "tRNA-Leu". Lineage: Eukaryota; Metazoa; Arthropoda; Insecta; Coleoptera; Curculionidae. The record is from RNAcentral.